Molecule: long non-coding RNA, 365 nt
Organism: Branchiostoma floridae (Florida lancelet)
Lineage: Eukaryota; Metazoa; Chordata; Leptocardii; Amphioxiformes; Branchiostomatidae
Exons: 3
Source: RefSeq, a predicted model, not a curated record
UUUGUUGGCACAACCGGACACUUAUAAUAGUCUACUCUUCCAUUGUGUAGACUAUCCUUGUCUUUGUCAUUUAAAAGACCAAGUAGUUGCAAGCUUUUCUGGGUCGUGUAACUUUGGAUUUUAGGAAAUACAUCAUGAACGAAUGCUACAAUCUGACCACCCUAUCACCAGAAACUCCGGAAAAUGCGGACUACACUCCUUUGAACAAGGACGAAGUUCAGGACGAACUUUAUGAGAUCACGGAACAGCCGACAAAGCGCCCCUUCACUCUACCAUGGAAAUUACGCGUCACCAUUUUCGUACUGAUAAGCGUGGGAGUGGCGGGGUUUCUGGUUUAUCACGCUAGUAAGUACCAUUAAGUGUAA